RNAcentral lists this unclassified non-coding RNA (391 nucleotides) under soil metagenome. RNAcentral describes it as "partial contains 5.8S ribosomal RNA, internal transcribed spacer 2, and large subunit ribosomal RNA". The stretch from base 1 to 122 matches the Rfam family "5.8S ribosomal RNA", at positions 35 to 154 of the family's 154-position model. The record is from RNAcentral.
GAUGAAGAACGUAGCGAAAUGCGAUACUUGGUGUGAAUUGCAGAAUCCCGUGAACCAUCGAGUCUUUGAACGCAAGUUGCGCCCGAAGCCAUUAGGCCGAGGGCACGCCUGCCUGGGCGUCACACGUCGUUGCCCCCCCAUCUACUCCUUCGGGAUUGCGGGGGGCGGAUGAUGGCCUCCCGUGCGCCUCGCCGCGCGGUUGGCAUAAAUGCCAAGUCCUCGGCGACGCACGCCACGACAAUCGGUGGUUGCGAAACCUCGGUUGCCCGUCGUGUGCGGUCGUCGCGCAUCGAGGGCUCGAAAAAAUUGCCGGGUUCCGGCUCAGCUUUCAACGCGACCCCAGGUCAGGCGGGGUUACCCGCUGAAUUUAAGCAUAUCAAUAAGCGGAGGA